Molecule: long non-coding RNA, 792 nt
Filed under: Salvia miltiorrhiza (redroot sage)
Lineage: Eukaryota; Viridiplantae; Streptophyta; Magnoliopsida; Lamiales; Lamiaceae
Description: long non-coding RNA (SMIL_LNC007434)
Source: RNAcentral
CGCCGCCGCCGCAGCACCAUAAACCUAGCGGCGGCGAUUCCGGUUUCUUGCAAGGAUGGUACGCCUCUAUUUAUAUGCAUUUCCUUGCUUAAUUGAAUAAAUUUCUUGUGUUGAUUUGAUGUAUUUGGUGGUUUAAUUUGGGAUGUGCGUGGCUUUCAUUCCUUUCUGAUAUUGUACACAAAUCGAUUAUCUCAUUGAUGUUACACUUUAUCAAUUAAAUAUAUAUUUAGGCAGGUAUAAUUAGCUAAAAAAUCAAUUAAUAUAAUGUUGGAAAGUGGAGAUAAUAGUUGGGAGUAUUAUAUUAUGAUCUCUAAUGAAACGAGAAUAGUUGGAGAAAUUUGAUUAAGCUCUGUUUAUUUCUUAUCGUAGUGCAUUCAUGGGAUCAUUUAUGAGUAUUGGGGUUCAAUUUAUACAACAUUUCUUCUAAGUCCUAAUCUUAACUAAUUCUAAAUAACAUUAAAUGAAUUAAUUAUGUAGUCGUGGUUUGUUAAUAAACUUGUGUUGCAGUUGUGCUGCACUUUGCUGUUGUUGCCUGCUCGACGCAUGCUUCUAGUGAAGAAGAAACGUUGAAAUGAAAUGCAUGGUUGGUCGCUCUCGCUGGCAGUGAAGGCUACGCUCCUAUAUUCAUUUCCUGAUUAAUUAAUAAUCAUUGUUUAAUUUGCUAGCUCUUUCUAACAGCUUGGUUUUCAGUGUGAUUAAUUUGGAAUGGUGAGAGUUUCCAAGUGUUUUGUCUCCAGCUCAUCAUUCCAUGCUUCUUUUCUUUUCAUUUAUUUAUUUAUCAUUUAUAGCAAA